GGAGGGUGCGAGCGUUGUCCGGAAUCACUGGGCGUAAAGGGCGCGUAGGUGGCCCGUUAAGUGGCUGGUGAAAUCUCGGGGCUCAACUCCGGGGCUGCCGGUCAGACUGGCGAGCUAGAGCACGGUAGGGGCAGAUGGAAUUCCCGGUGUAGCGGUGGAAUGCGUAGGUAUCGGGAAGAAUACCAGUGGCGAAGGCGUUCUGCUGGGCCGUUGCUGACACUGAGGCGCGACAGCGUGGGGAGCAAACAGGAUUAGAUACCCUGGUAGUCCACGCCGUAAACGAUGGACACUAGACGUCGGGGGGAGCGACCCUCCCGGUGUCGUCGCUAACGCAGUAAGUGUCCCGCCUGGGGAGUACGGCCGCAAGGCUG
Molecule: ribosomal RNA, 371 nt
Filed under: uncultured bacterium
Lineage: Bacteria
Description: bacterial SSU rRNA
Rfam family: Bacterial small subunit ribosomal RNA
Source: RNAcentral